RNAcentral lists this long non-coding RNA (2179 nucleotides) under Equus asinus (donkey). RNAcentral describes it as "lncRNA (ENSEASG00005037973.1)". The record is from RNAcentral. Lineage: Eukaryota; Metazoa; Chordata; Mammalia; Perissodactyla; Equidae.
GGGGGGGGGUGGGAGCGACUCAGCGAAGGAGGUGGGAGCCCACCUCAGCCUACGAUUGGAAAGAAAGCAAGUUGUUUCGGGUGGAACGAGGUCUCUUACAGGAGGCAAGACAGUCUUAUUAUUUUAAAAAAAAAUUCUUUUCAAGGAGGAGCUCUCGGCAAAUGAAUAUCGAGGCACCUCCCUAGCUGGUUACGUUUGGGACGCGAUAACUCGGGGCCGCUUCCAGACCUGCGUAGAAGUAAUUACUGGGUUAUCACGGAGGGGAAAAGAGACCGACGUUAGCACGUUAGGACGAAGAGAGUCGUCCGCAAUCUUUCUUGCUGAGAAAAAGUCCAUUCGCAAGCUAGGUCCGGGGAUGCAACUGGUCCCCGCGUGGCCCGGCGGGGGCGGGGUGCGAGUGGGUGGUGGGGUGGGUGGAGAGGAGCGAUUUCUGCGGAGAAAAAUUAAAGCGCUAGGGCCUGCAGAGGGACGAGGUGCUCUGUUUUGUUUUGUAAUAAGGGUUAUUGUUUUUUGGUCUCGUCAAUGGGCAUGAUUGCUAAGCAGCCCCGGGGCUUGCGCGCGCGAGCUUCCGCGUGCAGCUGGAAAUGCGCUAGGUUCAGUAGCGAAACGUACUGCGUAGACGCCCCAGGCGGCGCCGAGAGAAGAGCCAGGCCCGCCUAGCACGGAGCGAGCGAGCGCCGGGCCUUCUGGAAGGGUAAGUUCCCCGCCAAGGCGUCCCCGAGGGAGCCAGACGUCGGAAUCCGGACUCGUCCCCAGCUUCGGGGUUCGAUCCCGGGUUUCACGCGCCCCCAGCCCCCAGGGCUUUCCGCAGCAUGGCCUGGCUCCAGGCCCGGUCCGUCUGGGGCUGAAGCGGCAGCGAAAAGUGUAGGAACGCAGCCGACCGAGCGGCCCCAGGAGCUGAGGUCAGGCCCGCGGGGAGAGCGGGCAGUGGUUUCCAGCGCCGGACGCGGACGCCAGGGUCCCCCGGGCCGCAGACUCUGCAGCUUCGAGCAAGCAGAGCCCGCGUCCCUCCUCUUGGCCAGGCCACAGGGGCGUCCCCAAGCUUGGCUUUCGUUUCCCAAGGCCCCGCAACCCCCCUGGUCUGGCUCACAAAGGAUUCCGCAAACUCAGCUUCCCGGACCCACUUUCCCAGGCGCUCCGGAGGGCGCGCUGCGACUAGAAGAAAACAACGACCUAGUUCGGCAGAUGAGAUUUUUUUUCCCCCUUGGUUGGGGUAGUGAAAUGAGAAAUAGAAGUGGAAACAUCCUUCUAGAAGCCCAGCUGAGACAUCAGUGCUGGAGAUUUGCGGGCUCCACAGGAACAGAGAAGGCGCCCGGGCCGUGAGCACCACAGCGGGUCUCCUCUGGCCUCCUGCUGCUGGGUUUCUGGCCUUUGGGGACGCGGCCUCGAUAGAAGGGUCCGGAAGCGGGGACCACAGAUGCCUUGCCCCCCAUCACAAUCCCUCCCGGAAAACACUGGGCUGAAACUGACAGAGGCUCGCCCUGGGGUGCAACGGACCGAGGUCCCCGGUGGAGAAGUUCCUGGCGAUUGUUUCCGCAAGGGCCCUUCGGUUUCCUGGUCUCCAUGGCAACCCCGGAGUCCCGUCGAACGCUCUCAACAAUGGGGCGCCCCGAGGACAAUCGCGCACUUGCUCUGCGAGCUCUGUGUCCUGCAGGGCGCUUCCGCCCGUCGCUCUUGGCUUUCCGGAGCCACUUAGGUAGAUUCAACACGAAAGGGAUUGAAAAACUACCCCCCCCCUUUUUUUUUAAACGGAGGAGAAAAAUCGAGAUUUAGUAGAAUCUCUGCUGGCUAGGGUCGUGUCCUGAGCAAAAGCCCCAACUUGGAGUUCAGAGCGAUGACCUCGGAGACGCGAGCGCGGGCGGCGGGCAGGAUGGUUUCAUCGAAGCCCGCACCUCGAGCAUCUCCACCGGGAACCUGGGACUCUAGGAGUCUCGGAAUCUCUCCACAUCUGCUGCCCGUCUCAUCCGCACCCGACGCUCCCCGCAUCCAACCAAGCGACCCCUUCGCUUGCCUGGAAUAACUUCUCCUAAAUGGAAGGAGAGAAGUCGGGAACUAGAAAUAGUGGCAUUAAGGUCUGCAAGGUCUUUAUGAGGGAAAGAAUACAUUAUACGUUUCCUUUUAGAGAAAACAUUUUCCAUUGUGGAUGUAAUAUAAAUAACAUUAAAAUAAUAUUUGGGGG